UUACUGGCUCAGGAUGAACGCUGGCGGCGUGCCUAAUACAUGCAAGUCGUACGAGGUUAAUCCAGCUUGCUGGAGAGACCUAGUGGCGAACGGGUGAGUAAUACGUAAGUAACCUGCCUGCAAGGACUGGGAUAACACCUGGAAACGGGCGCUAAUACCGGAUAGGUAACGGAGGGGCAUCCUUCUGUUAUUAAGGUUAAAAACACAAGCAGAUGGGCUUACGGUGCAUUAGCUAGUUGGUGAGGUAACGGCCCACCAAGGCGAUGAUGCAUAGCCGGCCUGAGAGGGUGAACGGCCACAUUGGGACUGAGACACGGCCCAGACUCCUACGGGAGGCAGCAGUAGGGAAUUUUCGGCAAUGGGCGAAAGCCUGACCGAGCAACGCCCGCGUGAGUGAAGAAGAAUUUCGGUUCGUAAAGCUCUGUUGUAAGGGAAGAACAGCACGGAGAGAAUCCGUGUGUGACGGUACCUUACCAGAAAGCCACGGCUAACUACGUGCCAGCCGCCGC
Molecule: ribosomal RNA, 509 nt
Filed under: uncultured bacterium
Lineage: Bacteria
Description: bacterial SSU rRNA
Rfam family: Bacterial small subunit ribosomal RNA
Source: RNAcentral